This 311-nucleotide ribosomal RNA is filed under the name uncultured eukaryote. RNAcentral's name for it is "partial 18S ribosomal RNA". It matches the Rfam family "Eukaryotic small subunit ribosomal RNA", at positions 1470 to 1796 of the family's 1831-position model. The record is from RNAcentral.
CCCCUAGACGUUCUGGGCUGCACGCGCGCUACAAUAAUACGCACAGCGAGUAUCACCGAGCUCGAAAGGGCAAGGUAAACAAUAGAAAAGGUACUGUAAUGGUUAUAGAUCCUUGUAAUUAUUGAUCUUCAACGAGGAAUUCCUAGUAAGUAUGUGUCAUCAUCACGCACUGAUUACGUCCCUGCCCUUUGUACACACCGCCCGUCGCUCCUACCGAUUGGGUGAGCCGAUGAAACUCUCGGAUGUAGUCUAUUCAUAGCCCGCAGAAGAGAUUUGAAUCGUAGCGCUUAGAGGAAGGAGAAGUCGUAACA